Long non-coding RNA from Gallus gallus (chicken), 5489 nucleotides. RefSeq lists it as uncharacterized. Lineage: Eukaryota; Metazoa; Chordata; Aves; Galliformes; Phasianidae. The record is from RefSeq and is a predicted model, not a curated record. The transcript is spliced from 4 exons.
GCGGCAGCAAUCGGUGGGUUGAGACGGCCUCGCUCGGCGCUUCAGGGACGUGCGCCGGCCCUCAGCGUAGUUGUAGCAUCAGUCCUCUCCACCCUUUUGGUUUUGUUCUAUUACUCUUUUUUUAAGUCUUCUUUUCUCUCACGUGCGCUUCUUCCGGACUCGUGACUGGCGCUGUAGUGCUGGAUGAGCUUUUGUCGUGUAGCUCAUUCACGAGCAGAACCCAACUGGUUUUGUGUAGUAAACAGAAUCGCGUCGUUCCCUACAGGCUGUUGGUGGGGUUUGCAGUCACUGAUGGGGCCUCCUUAGUGCUCAGUAGUACAGAGUCAGUAACAGCCAGUCAAUUUUGUAUACCCAUGCAAAUAGCCAGCAACCACUGUGUUUAAAAUCGAGGAGGUCUGCUUGAAUUCAGGGAUCCAGGUGCCCAAAACACUGUCAGCUUGAUGUUUUAGCUGUUUUCCAUAUUCAGUGUGUCAUCAAACAUGGAUUUUUUUGUCAUUUUCAGGCUGUGAUAUUUUACUUCUAGAGUUUGGUAUUCGCUAUGCAGAAUUCUCCAGAAGUACAAAAGGAGAAGCCAUCAAGUAGGCAAGGUGAUGAUUCUUAGAGAUUUUAAACAAUAGAGAUUUAGAUUACUAUGAUUAAUGUGAAAGUUGACUGCUCAAAUGAAACAAUCAGUUCUUCUGUCUUUGGAUAGAAUUUUAAAUACUGAACAUGAGUCAUCAGUCAUGUGAGGGUUUAAAUGAGCACUUAGCUUUAUGCAAUUGGAGUGAUUAGUUCUAUUCAAGUGAAUAGUACUGUGCAGAGCAUGUAAGAUUUAGCACAUCUCAAACCCCUGAUUGUGCAAAGCCUCAACAUGUGACCUGAGAAGUGUUUGCUUUUGUUUUUUAAAGCUGUUUUCUAAGAAAUGGUGUUUAUGCAGUCACACACGUCUGUCAUCCACUCCUUCCCCAUCACCGAGGGAAGGGGAAUGGUAGCCAACGUGUUGGCUACUUUCAGGUAGUUAUCCCAGGAGAAUGGGAAUUUGAAAAACAAUUUUGUUCGCACAUAUUUGGUGAAAAUAGGUGACUCUGUGUUAGAGAUAUUUUACUUGCAUAAUGAAAGCAGAUGCAGGGGCUGAAGUAUUAGGAAUCACAAAACCUACAUUCAGAUGAAAAGUAGAACAUAGUACCUACUUAACCCCAUCAAAAGAGUUCAGCCAGCACUUACAAUUGAGCCAAAGGUGAGCCACUAGCAGCUGAGGUUUGUUUGGUGUUCAGGAUGCUUUGAAAGGAAGAGAGAACAAAUCUAAAUCUGUUCCUUUUGUUGGUGUUAUCUGAGGUCUGCUAAUGAGGAACUGUGUAUUAACACCAAAUGCACUGUUAGUCAAAUGGCUGCUUGUGUGAAGCUUAUUUUUUGUAAGCGUUCUUUCUUGGCUCUUGCAUAAUUUAUCAUCAUUGGGAUAUUAGUCUGCUGUACAUUCUACUUAGAACUAAAAAACACUCACCCUAAAAGAACCUGUUUGUAAAGCUUGUAAUAUGCUUACGGAUAUAUAACUUUCUGUUCGAAAAAUAAGAAAUUAAUCAGCAUAUAUUGAUAGCACAGUCUAGGGAAAAAAGAAGAAAAGAUAAAGGUUAAGUACUUUGUGCUGCUUGUUUCCUUUGCUUUCUGGCAUAAUAAUAGGAGCCACAGUGCAUUUAGCAAGUAGUUACUGCAGGAAUUAGAUUGUACUGUGGGAAGUGAGAAUUAGAUAAUAAAUAUCACUGUACUCAAAAGUACCAAGAAGAAAAGGGCAGAGUGAGGAGAAGAAAUCAGGCAAAAUACUAUACUUUUGAAAAAAAUCCAAGCACUACAGUAUCCCUACUUACUAAGCACAGAACAAUUCAAAAUAGUAACAUAUCUCUAACUUAAAAAAAACAAUAAUAUAUUAAGAACCUUCAAGUACCAUCUGCUGACUCUUGUUCUCUGUUCCCUUAUACUUCUGAAAUAAUUGCACCUGUGGAAUGUGAGGCACUUGUUUGGCAGCUUCUUUUACCUGACUUUGCACAGGUGUGGAGAGGUAUACAGUAUGCAGAACUUAAUAAUCAGAGCCACAGAAAUUAAAGUGUAUUUGCUGAUAAGCUACUUUCACCAGAAAGUGCAUUUCAAGAGAAAGUCAGAAGGCGUGAACACAUCUUGCCAAGGCAUUUUUAUUGUUUCCUAAUGGGAGGAAAAAUAUUUCGAUUUGGCUGCAGUCUAAGUCCUUGAUUUCACAGUGAUUCUACACUGUACUAACAGAUGAUAUCUUGUGUAUUUUUAUACCAACCAGUAUCCUACUGCUACUAAAUCUUUUACAUGGAAGUUUAGUGAGGGUUUAAGGAAUUGAAAAUCUCUUGAUGACUGACCUCCUCUACUGCUGCUGCUUCGAUCUCACUGUAGGCUGUAGCAUAAGAUGUUGCUGAGACCUGCUGUUGUCCCAUGGACCUCACUGCACACUCUCUUCUUCAGUUUGCCAGAAAAAUCUACCUGCAGGGUACAGCACGGUAGGGGAAUACAUCUUGUCUCCAGUUGUUUCCUUGCCUGUUUCCUUCACACAAACAUUAUGUAGGUUCACAUGGCUCCACGGGGAAGAGAAAAAGAAGACAAGGGCAAGGGGUUGGCAAAGAUGGAGCCAGCAGAGCCAGUGAGCUGGCCUGAUCAGUGAGCAGCAUCACAUCUGUUUGUUAGGAGAGCUUGUAGAAAACUGCAGUGCACAAGCUAGGUGUCAAUCCACUGACCAGUCUACUGAUGCCAUGAGGCUGAGUAGUGCAUCUCAAAGACUCCAAAUUCAGACAGAUUGGUUACUUGCAUGUUAAUGGAGAUUUUGUUUGUUUUCCUUGUGCAGGAGUCAAAUCAACUGAAAAUUUUAGCAUUUUGCAUUUUUAACACCAUUUUAUGUAGUUUCAAGUAUCAAGUGAACUGGACUUCAAUGUGAUAUCAUGAUGUUCAUUCUCUGCUUGGUCCUUGUCAUCUUCUAAGUCAAAUUCACACGUAAGUUCAAAAGUUUUUACUUCAAACAGCAAAAUCACCACUGUAAGCUUCAGAAGGCUUUUGUCUUGUACAGUUUUGUCUUGUACAUUUUGAAGAUCAGCAGGAUCCUUCACUGAGAAGUAUGAAGUACAUCAGGAGAGAAGAUCAUGUUCAUCGUGUUCAGCAGCUGAAGAGUUUUCUAAACUCAAUUAGUGCAAGAAUGCUGUGACCAAUGGAAAAAUGUUUGAUGCUUGCCAGAAAGCAAAUCUCCCCAGCUCUUGAAAAUAGCGUUCUGAAAACAAGGCACACUGGUGUGUUAUCUGGACACUGCAUGCUGCCAGGAAUUUUGAAAUGGUCAAACCAGCAGAGUCCCUGCCUGGUAGACAACUGAUGGAGUGAUGGUUACCUGUUAUCAGCUGUAGCUAUUGAGAUGAGACAGUUCAGUUCUUGUUGUCUUGUCAUGUGUUAAUAGCUGAUGCAUUUUAAGUCAUCUCUCCACCCAGUGUUAACGCCUUGUUCAGGGAGGGCAGUAAAGAACUCUCAGGAUCUGGUAUCUCCAAGUGUCUCUUCUGUAUUUCUUUCCUGUUCCCAAGGGAAUCCAGUCUGUAAUAUCUACCCACUAGUAGAACUACAAGCAGUUCACAGAAACACAAACACAAGCAGUAUUACAACACACGUAUUAAAAUGACAUUUUUUUACAAGAUCAAAAACAAAUAGAAAAAAUAAAAGUGCUGUGGGAAAGCAUUUACCAAAUAAAAAUGUCUUUGGAGGCCUGAUUGUAUGUGGGUCUGUGAAUAACACUCAGGAGACUAUAAACUUUAGACAAACCAGAUGGUUAGACAGCAAUCCAGAUGGUUUUAUUUAUGCAGACAGAGUUCACAUUUAGGGAGGUGCUUUGUUCCUCUAGAGAAGGUUUCACACACAGAGUAGAAUUAUAUAUAUGGCGUAUGGUGAUAGACUGAAACAUUCAUAAAAAUUUAAGUCUCAUUGAGUAGUCUGUUGUCCUUUCAAUACAGAUAUCAUCGUAAUUACAUAACUGACAUGCUUGUUGGCUGCUCUUGCACAUGAUGUUGCUUCUUUUUACUGCAUUAGUAUCCAAGGGUUUUAGUGAGGAUUAUGACCAGUUUAUUUCGUUAUGUGUUAUAAAGUUGUAUUGGAAGAUGCAGUUCUUGUUUACAAGAGUUGAGAGUCUAAGGACAAUGAAAACACAAAAAUUGGCAAGCUAUGGAGGAAAGUAAGAGGGAGGUAACUGGAUAUAACUGAAAAAAUCUGAUAAGUAUCAGCUAGGAAAUCUCUCUCCUUUUUGGUAUCAGUGAAGGAGAUAGAAAAACAGCCUUGACACUUAUCAAAGUGACCUUCUAAUCCUUUAGCUUUAGUUUUACCCUAAGCCCAGAUAGUACAUCUAUCUUAACCACAAAGUCAGUGCAUGCCUACUUUUCAUAUUCUUCUAUGUGCAUAAAAUGGUGAUUUUAUACAACACAUGCCAUUCUCUGAUAAAAUGACAAACAGUAGUUAGCUUCCAGAUGAUUUCAAUACAAAGUGAAGAUCUUGGCUUAAAAACCUAAUGUUAGUUCUACUGCUCAGGCAGUAGCCUCCUGUAACACAGCAAUCUGGUGAUCUAUAAUGUCUUAUCAAACUCUUUUUUGAAUGUCUAAUCUAUCAUACCUAAUUUCACUGGAGUUUUUGGACCACUUUUUUUCUUUCUGAUUAUAUUACCUAUAGCUUCUUAUUGAUGUUUGGAAAAAGUAUUUCUGGAAGGGGUAUUUCUACAGUCACAUGUUGGUGUGGCAUGCAGUGACAUACAUUGUGAUUAGCAGAUUAAGAAGUAUGAAAUUGCUUUGGUGAUUUCCUUAAUGUACUUGAAAAGUAACAGGUGCCAGAGCUUUUGUUAUCCAUUCCAUAUGACCUAAAUUGUCUUUAUAUCUCUUCAACAGAGAUGUGUUCUGAACUUCUUCCUAUUAAACAUUCUGUCCAAUUUUGAUUUUGCUGAAAUUUCAUUUUAUCCAUAUUCUUGUUCAGCUACUGACAUUAUAAAAGUGUUCUUUUAGGUUUAUAACUUCUCAGUAGUGUUGUGGAGAUUCAGAAAAUAAGAGUAGGUUUCUUUUUUACUGGUAGCAAAGGUAUCAAGCUCACAUAAACAUUACAAAGACUACCUCAUAAUUUUAUUGGAACAUAUCGUCUUUCCAAAAUAAAUACCAUAGGAAAUGAUAGCAUCAGCAUUGCAUUUGUAAGUCACAACAGAAAGAAAAUCUGUAUUUUGAUGAUACCAAGCUGGGAGGUGCUGUUGAGUCUCUGAAAAGAGGAUAGACUUUGAAAGUGGACCAAGAUACGUCAGCAGGUGUGUGAAACACUUAGCAACAAAGAUACAAAGCAAUUAGCAAUAAUUCUCACAUCCUAAUCAUCACUGCACGUGGUCUUACACAGUAUAAGAUGCUGUUGAUGCAAUUUUGUGAAGUCUUGUUAAGUAGAGUUUGGGGAGUAUUUUAAGUAUUGAAAUAAAACUAUGCUGAUUUCAUGUAGCAUGUAAA